AUUGAACGCUGGCGGCAUGCCUAACACAUGCAAGUCGAACGGCAGCGCGGACUUCGGUCUGGCGGCGAGUGGCGGACGGGUGAGGAAUGCAUCGGAAUCUGCCCCGACGUGGGGGAUAACGUAGGGAAACUUACGCUAAUACCGCAUACGUCUUACGGGAGAAAGCGGGGGAUCGAAAGACCUCGCGCGGCGGGAUGAGC
Molecule: ribosomal RNA, 200 nt
Filed under: uncultured bacterium
Lineage: Bacteria
Description: partial 16S ribosomal RNA
Rfam family: Bacterial small subunit ribosomal RNA
Source: RNAcentral